AGCGAGUGGCGAACGGGGUGAGUAACGCGUGAGGAACCUGCCUCAAAGAGGGGGACAACAGUUGGAAACGACUGCUAAUACCGCAUAAGCCCACAGGUCGGCAUCGACCAGAGGGAAAAGGAGCAAUCCGCUUUGAGAUGGCCUCGCGUCCGAUUAGCUAGUUGGUGAGGUAACGGCCCACCAAGGCAACGAUCGGUAGCCGGACUGAGAGGUUGAACGGCCACAUUGGGACUGAGACACGGCCCAGACUCCUACGGGAGGCAGCAGUGGGGAAUAUUGCACAAUGGGGGAAACCCUGAUGCAGCGACGCCGCGUGGAGGAAGAAGGUCUUCGGAUUGUAAACUCCUGUUGUUGAGGAAGAUAAUGACGGUACUCAACAAGGAAGUGACGGCUAACUACGUGCCAGCAGCCGCGGUAAAACGUAGGUCACAAGCGUUGUCCGGAAUUACUGGGUGUAAAGGGAGCGCAGGCGGGAAGACAAGUUGGAAGUGAAAUCUAUGGGCUCAACCCAUAAACUGCUUUCAAAACUGUUUUUCUUGAGUAGUGCAGAGGUAGGCGGAAUUCCCGGUGUAGCGGUGGAAUGCGUAGAUAUCGGGAGGAACACCAGUGGCGAAGGCGGCCUACUGGGCACCAACUGACGCUGAGGCUCGAAAGUGUGGGUAGCAAACAGGAUUAGAUACCCUGGUAGUCCACACCGUAAACGAUGAUUACUAGGUGUUGGAGGAUUGACCCCUUCAGUGCCGCAGUUAACACAAUAAGUAAUCCACCUGGGGAGUACGACCGCAAGGUUGAAACUCAAAGGAAUUGACGGGGGCCCGCACAAGCAGUGGAGUAUGUGGUUUAAUUCGACGCAACGCGAAGAACUUUACCAAGUCUUGACAUCCUGCGACGCACAUAGAAAUAUGUGUUUCCUUCGGGACGCAGAGACAGGUGGUGCAUGGUUGUCGUCAGCUCGUGUCGUGAGAUGUUGGGUUAAGUCCCGCAACGAGCGCAACCCUUACUGUCAGUUACUACGCAAGAGGACUCUGGCAGGACUGCCGUUGACAAAACGGAG
RNAcentral lists this ribosomal RNA (1054 nucleotides) under uncultured bacterium. RNAcentral describes it as "bacterial SSU rRNA". It matches the Rfam family "Bacterial small subunit ribosomal RNA", at positions 90 to 1168 of the family's 1533-position model. The record is from RNAcentral.